AGCCUCGAAUCGGAAGGGAGACGACGCUCCCUGAUUGGUCCCGCCUCCCCCGUAGAGCGUGAGGCGAGGCGGGGCCCGGCAGGCGGCGGCAGCGGGCGAGGUGGGGUGGGACGCCCCCGGUUUCGGUUGAUUUCGUCUCCCGGGAGCUCCCAGGAGAGGCUGUGGGAAGGGACGGAGGGGAAGGAAGCACGUAUCUGCCGCGGUGGGGGAAUCAGCCCCGGGAUCGCCCGUCCGUCCCUCUGCCUCGGCCUUGGCUCCCCUUCUCGGUCUCUCCACCGCCAUUGGGUGGGGCCUGCGAGGGCCGCCGCUGGGCCCACCUUUCCUAAUCAAGCUGGGAAGGGGCAAGUGCGCAUCCCCUAGGAAGCACCGAGCCCGCCUGGAGGACAGGACGAGCCAGGGGCCGGAGGAUGGUUCCGCCGGAGCCGCGCUAGGAAGGCUUCUCCAAGGAAGGUGUCUUGUGGGGUGAUAAUUUGGCCAUUCCCUGAGUCUUACAGGUUUUCUAGAUGUCCUUUCAAAAUCUUCAUGUCCACCAUCUCCCUCCUCGAACAUAGAAGAACUCUUCUCACCGAAAAGUUGGAGAUAGGCAAAUUGUAGUUUUUAGUUCUACUCUGUUCCAAAUCUGAUCUUCGGCAAGUGGAGCUCACCUGCAAUGAUAGCUAUUCAAAUGUAGUUGUGUGGUGAUGAAAGAAAAUAGUAAAUAUCACAGGGCUUUGGAGUUCAAAGAAAAUUAAUAAUUGUUAACAUUUCUUCCCUUCGGUUGCCUUCAUGUAUUUAUGCUAAGAUAAACUUAGCAGAAAUUCCUCAAAAGUUGACCUCCAUUUUUUGGGCGUUUUCUUCCAUUGUCAGCUUAGAGGCAGCUCUACUCACCUACUUUUUAAAACAGCUUGUGAAAGAGACCCAGGAAGCCAACUGAUGGAACUGAUCCAUCUCCUAAGCCUCUGCUUCCAUAUCCCAGAGCCACCAGGGAGGAUGGUCUAGGCCAGGGCAAAAACUCUUCAAUUUAGAAGUAGGAAGGCUGUUUCUGGUUUUUGGUCCUUCCUGAUGAUCCAAGCCAACCAUUUUAAUAUGACAUGGCCUAUUAAAAGCUACCCUGGGCCUGGCAGACAUGGCUCAGUGGUUGAUUGUCAAUUGAGGAGGUCACAUUUCAGUUCCGGACAGGACACAUGCCAGGUUGCAGGUUUGAUCCUCAGUAGGGGGUGUGCAGGAAGCAGCUGAUUAAUGAUUCUCAUCGUUGAUGUUUUCCUCUUCCUUCCUCUGAAAUCAAUAAAAACUAAAAAAAAAAUAAAGCUACUCUGGGUCACACAAAUAUUUUCUCCUAUGUGACCAGGGUAUACAUUUAUUUGAGUGUUCAUUUAGGUGAUGGGGGAUGCCUGAGCUGGCUGGGAUUCCAGAAGAAUCUGCUAUGGGAGUUAGGGUACAAUUAAAGAGUACAGUAAUUCAGUAGAUGAUAUGCUUGAAGUUUAAGACCAUCUUCCCAAAGUGUCAGACUUUUGAGUCCCUAACUUCCAUUCUGGAAUCCUUUUAGGAUCUGUGAGAUUGAAGAAAUGGGAGGAGGGCAGUCUGGCUACCAAUGCAGUGCCCAUAGGUUUUGAAAUGGGAACAUGCCUACUCUCCCCUCUGCUAGAAAUGUGUCUAAACCAAAAUGGGUCAAGACAGAAACUGAAGGCAGAUGGAGAAGGAUUGCCGUGGCAACAAUCAACUGGGAAUCCCUUAGGGUACUUCAAGACCUAUCAUCAGUAGAUUCCUAUUGCAUAAAUUAUAUUAAGUGAGUCUUAUUUUUAUGUGAAUGAACACUAAAUUAACCCUUCAUUACUCAUGACACUGCAAAAUCAAUGAAAUUAAAAUCAAUUCAGAAUCAAUUUAAAUGUAGUUAAAUGUACUAGGAAGACAUAAGAAAAUGGUAAUGGUGGUUGCUUCUGGAAUGAGAACUUGGAAGUCGUGAGUGGAAAACUUAAAUUUCAUCAUUAUUUCUUCUGUAGUUUGAAUUUUUAAAAAUAUCCAUGUGUUGAUUUUUCAAAAGAUACAACUCAUAAUCCAUCUCUCUGACGAGAUCUGGAAAGCCUUUCCUGGAUGAUAUACAUAUGACUUUGCUUUGAUUAACCUUGACGUGUUAGUUUAGUCUUGAGAAGGUUUUUAGCUUUCUCAUGUAUGUAUGUUUUGUCUCCCCAUUUAGAUUGUACAUUCCUGAGGGAUAAGGAAAGCAUCUCAUUCCCAGUUGUCUUCCCACACCCUUACCAAAAGACUAAGUAUUAUAAUUGAAGUGAAAUACAGCAUUUGUAUAGCAUUCUGUGUGUAUCGUAGGUCCAUAAGCAUUCACAGCUUUGCCCCAUCCUUUCAGUUUGUAGUUGAUCUCAGUACAGCCAUUGAGCAUCUCUUCAACAUCUGAUCUCUGUAUUUGCUUAUCCUGGUAGAGCUAAGUUGCAUUGAGCAUUGCUACAUCUUGAGGAAACAUCCAGUUAUUUGCAACUGAAAGGACACUGAUUACAUGAAAUAACCUAAGAAAAAUUGUAAAGAACAAAACUUGUGGGGUUACUUUUGUUGUAAAUAAUGGUAGAAAAGACUCAAUACCAGCUGGAUUUUUAUCUCAAUACAAUGAAAUUUUAUGUUUUAAAAGAAUUUGUAUUAAAGGUGUGUACAUCUGCCUACACAUAUAUACACAUACACAUUCUUUAUUCACAUGCUAGCUUUUGUUAAAAAUGAAAAUUAACAUCUGAUGGAGACAAGAAUAAAGCAUAUACAA
Long non-coding RNA from Pipistrellus kuhlii (Kuhl's pipistrelle), 2740 nucleotides. RefSeq lists it as uncharacterized. The record is from RefSeq and is a predicted model, not a curated record. Lineage: Eukaryota; Metazoa; Chordata; Mammalia; Chiroptera; Vespertilionidae. The transcript has 2 exons.